GAUGAACGCUGGCGGCGUGCCUAAUACAUGCAAGUCGAGCGAACGGACGAGAAGCUUGCUUCUCUGAUGUUAGCGGCGGACGGGUGAGUAACACGUGGAUAACCUACCUAUAAGACUGGGAUAACUUCGGGAAACCGGAGCUAAUACCGGAUAAUAUUUUGAACCGCAUGGUUCAAAAGUGAAAGACGGUCUUGCUGUCACUUAUAGAUGGAUCCGCGCUGCAUUAGCUAGUUGGUAAGGUAACGGCUUACCAAGGCAACGAUGCAUAGCCGACCUGAGGGGGUGAUCGGCCACACUGGGACUGAGACACGGUCCAGACUCCUACGGGAGGCAGCAGUAGGGAAUCUUCCGCAAUGGGCGAAAGCCUGACGGAGCAACGCCGCGUGAGUGAUGAAGGUCUUCGGAUCGUAAAACUCUGUUAUUAGGGAAGAACAUAUGUGUAAGUAACUGUGCACAUCUUGACGGUACCUAAUCAGAAAGCCACGGCUAACUACGUG
RNAcentral lists this ribosomal RNA (497 nucleotides) under uncultured bacterium. RNAcentral's name for it is "partial 16S ribosomal RNA". It matches the Rfam family "Bacterial small subunit ribosomal RNA", at positions 28 to 507 of the family's 1533-position model. The record is from RNAcentral.